RNAcentral lists this ribosomal RNA (2224 nucleotides) under Paenibacillus sp. BGI2013. RNAcentral describes it as "bacterial LSU rRNA". It matches the Rfam family "Bacterial large subunit ribosomal RNA", at positions 698 to 2925 of the family's 2925-position model. Lineage: Bacteria; Bacillati; Bacillota; Bacilli; Caryophanales; Paenibacillaceae. The record is from RNAcentral.
AGUACGUGGACGUAGACCCGAAACCGGGUGAUCUACCCCUGUCCAGGGUGAAGGUGCGGUAACACGCACUGGAGGCCCGAACCCACGCAUGUUGAAAAAUGCGGGGAUGAGGUGGGGGUAGCGGAGAAAUUCCAAUCGAACUCGGAGAUAGCUGGUUCUCCCCGAAAUAGCUUUAGGGCUAGCCUCGGAAAACAGAGUCGUGGAGGUAGAGCACUGAUUGGGUGCGGGGCCCGCAAGGGUUACCAAGCUCAGUCAAACUCCGAAUGCCAUAGACUUACUUCCGGGAGUCAGACAGUGAGUGCUAAGAUCCAUUGUCAAAAGGGAAACAGCCCAGACCAUCAGCUAAGGUCCCCAAGUGUGUGUUAAGUGGGAAAGGAUGUGGAGUUGCACAGACAACCAGGAUGUUGGCUUAGAAGCAGCCAUCAUUGAAAGAGUGCGUAAUAGCUCACUGGUCGAGUGACUCUGCGCCGAAAAUGUAACGGGGCUAAACACACCACCGAAGCUAUGGCUUGAUGCUUUGCAUCAGGGGUAGGGGAGCGUUGUAUAAGGGUUGAAGGUGUACCGUAAGGAGCGCUGGACAUUAUACAAGUGAGAAUGCCGGUAUGAGUAACGAAAAGAUCAGUGAGAAUCUGAUCCGCCGAAAGCCUAAGGGUUCCUGAGGAAGGCUCGUCCGCUCAGGGUAAGUCGGGACCUAAGGCGAGGCCGAAAGGCGUAGUCGAAGGACAACAGGUCGAAAUUCCUGUACCACCGUAAGCCGUUAUGAGCAAUGGGGGGACGCAGUAGGGUAGUGACGCGGACUGAUGGAUGUCCGUCUAAGCAGUAAGGCUGAUGUGUAGGCAAAUCCGCACAUUGUAAGGCUGAGCUGUGAUGGGGAGCGAAAAUUAUAGUAGCGAAGGUCAUGAUCUCACACUGCCAAGAAAAGCCUCUAGCCAGGUGAUGGUGCCCGUACCGCAAACCGACACAGGUAGGCGAGAAGAGUAUUCUAAGGCGCGCGGAAGAACUCUCGUUAAGGAACUCGGCAAAAUGACCCCGUAACUUCGGGAGAAGGGGUGCCCCGGUAGUGUGAAUAGCACGAGGGGGCCGCAGUGAAAAGGCCCAAGCGACUGUUUAGCAAAAACACAGGUCUGUGCGAAGCCGUAAGGCGAAGUAUACGGGCUGACGCCUGCCCGGUGCUGGAAGGUUAAGGGGAGUGGUUAGGAGCAAUCCGAAGCUGUGAACCGAAGCCCCAGUAAACGGCGGCCGUAACUAUAACGGUCCUAAGGUAGCGAAAUUCCUUGUCAGGUAAAUUCUGACCCGCACGAAUGGCGUAACGACUUGGGCGCUGUCUCAACGAGAGAUCCGGUGAAAUUUUAAUACCUGUGAAGAUGCAGGUUACCCGCGACAAGACGGAAAGACCCCAUGGAGCUUUACUGCAGCUUGAUAUUGAAUUUGGGUACGAUCUGUACAGGAUAGGUGGGAGCCUUUGAAACGUGAGCGCCAGCUUGCGUGGAGGCAACGUUGGGAUACCACCCUGAUCGUAUCUAGGUUCUAACCUGGUACCGUAAUCCGGUGCGGGGACAGUGUCAGGUGGGCAGUUUGACUGGGGCGGUCGCCUCCUAAAGAGUAACGGAGGCGCCCAAAGGUUCCCUCAGAAUGGUUGGAAAUCAUUCGAAGAGUGCAAAGGCAUAAGGGAGCUUGACUGCGAGACCUACAAGUCGAGCAGGGACGAAAGUCGGGCUUAGUGAUCCGGUGGUACCGCAUGGAAGGGCCAUCGCUCAACGGAUAAAAGCUACCCUGGGGAUAACAGGCUUAUCUCCCCCAAGAGUCCACAUCGACGGGGAGGUUUGGCACCUCGAUGUCGGCUCAUCGCAUCCUGGGGCUGAAGUAGGUCCCAAGGGUUGGGCUGUUCGCCCAUUAAAGCGGUACGCGAGCUGGGUUCAGAACGUCGUGAGACAGUUCGGUCCCUAUCUGUCGUGGGCGUAGGAAAUUUGAGAGGAGCUGUCCUUAGUACGAGAGGACCGGGAUGGACGUACCGCUGGUGUACCAGUUGUUCCGCCAGGAGCACCGCUGGGUAGCUAUGUACGGACGGGAUAAACGCUGAAAGCAUCUAAGCGUGAAGCCCCCCUCAAGAUGAGAUUUCCCAGUAUGUAAGACCCCUUGAAGACGACGAGGUAGAUAGGCUGGGGGUGGAAGUGCAGCAAUGCAUGGAGCUGACCAGUACUAAUCGGUCGAGGGCUUAUCCAAU